This 253-nucleotide ribosomal RNA is filed under the name uncultured bacterium. Its description in RNAcentral is "partial 16S ribosomal RNA". It matches the Rfam family "Bacterial small subunit ribosomal RNA", at positions 524 to 776 of the family's 1533-position model. The record is from RNAcentral.
UACGUAGGUGACAAGCGUUAUCCGGAAUUACUGGGCGUAAAGCGCACGCAGGCGGCUUCGCAAGUCUGACGUGAAAUCUCUCGGCUUAACCGGGAGCGGUCGUUGGAAACUAUGCGGCUUGAGGCGAUGAGAGGGGUGUGGAAUUCCCGGUGUAGUGGUGGAAUGCGUAGAUAUCGGGAGGAACAUCAGUGGCGAAAGCGGCACCCUGGCAUUAGCCUGACGCUCAGGUGCGAAAGCGUGGGGAGCGAACGGG